AGUGAACGCUGGCGGUAGGCCUAACACAUGCAAGUCGAACGGCAGCACAGUAAGAGCUUGCUCUUACGGGUGGCGAGUGGCGGACGGGUGAGGAAUACAUCGGAAUCUACUUUUUCGUGGGGGAUAACGUAGGGAAACUUACGCUAAUACCGCAUACGACCUACGGGUGAAAGCAGGGGAUCUUCGGACCUUGCGCGAUUGAAUGAGCCGAUGUCGGAUUAGCUAGUUGGCGGGGUAAAGGCCCACCAAGGCGACGAUCCGUAGCUGGUCUGAGAGGGUGAUCAGCCACACUGGAACUGAGACACGGUCCAGACUCCUACGGGAGGCAGCAGUGGGGAAUAUUGGACAAUGGGGGAAAGCCUGAUCCAGCCAUACCGCGUGGGUGAAGAAGGCCUUCGGGUUGUAAAGCCCUUUUGUUGGGAAAGAAGAGCAGCAGGUUAAUACCCCGCUGUUCUGACGGUACCCAAAGAAUAAGCACCGGCUAACUUCGUG
This 492-nucleotide ribosomal RNA is filed under the name uncultured bacterium. Its description in RNAcentral is "partial 16S ribosomal RNA". It matches the Rfam family "Bacterial small subunit ribosomal RNA", at positions 29 to 507 of the family's 1533-position model. The record is from RNAcentral.